Molecule: ribosomal RNA, 1211 nt
Filed under: Silurus asotus (Amur catfish)
Lineage: Eukaryota; Metazoa; Chordata; Actinopteri; Siluriformes; Siluridae
Description: partial 16S ribosomal RNA
Rfam family: Bacterial large subunit ribosomal RNA
Source: RNAcentral
UUUAGUUCAAACCCCCGAAACUAAGUGAGCUACCCCGAGACAGCCUAUCAAUUAGGGCCAACCCAUCUCUGUGGCAAAAGAGUGGGAAGAGCUCCGGGUAGAGGUGACAAACCUACCGAACUUAGUUAUAGCUGGUUACCUAAGAAAUGAAUAAAAGUUCAGCCUCGCACUCCUUGCCUCACAAACAUCUAAAGCCUACACGAGCCAAAGAAAUAUGCGAGAGUUAGUCAAAGGGGGUACAGCCCCUUUGAAACAGGACACAACCUCACACAGGAGGUUAAAGAUUAUACUAAACAAGAUACACCGCUUUAGUGGGCCUAAAAGCAGCCACCUAAGCAGAUAGCGUUAAAGCUCCAGCGGACUAAAAAUCUAUUAUCCAAAUAAUUUAUCUAAAACCCCUAACAAUAUUAGGUCGCCCCAUGCCUACAUGGAAAAGAUACUGCUAAAAUGAGUAAUAAGAAGGAACCCCCUUCUCCUAGCCUACGUGUAUAUUAGAUCGGACCCCCCACUAAUAAUUAUCGAACCCAACCAAAGAGGGUAAUGUGACCACACUAAACAACAAGAAAACAUCACACCACCAAAUCGUUAAUCCCACACCGGAAGGCCCACAAGGAAAGACUAAAAGAAAAGGAAGGAACUCGGCAAACCCAAGCCUCGCCUGUUUACCAAAAACAUCGCCUCCUGCAAAAUCAAUGUAUAGGAGGUCCUACCUGCCCAGUGACAAGUUAAACGGCCGCGGUAUUUUGACCGUGCGAAGGUAGCGCAAUCACUUGUCUUUUAAAUGAAGACCUGUAUGAAUGGUGGAACGAGGGCUUAACUGUCUCCCUUUUCCAGUCAAUGAAAUUGAUCUGCCCGUGCAGAAGCGGACAUAUUAAUACAAGACGAGAAGACCCUUUGGAGCUUAAGAUAAAAGAUCAACUAUGUCAAGAAACUAAGAACAUAGCUUAAACUAAGUAGCGACUGAUCCUUGUCUUCAGUUGGGGCGACUGCGGAAGAAAACAAAGCUUCCACGAGGAUUGGGACAAAUAUCCUAAAGCCGAGAAAGACACUUCUAAGCCACAGAACAUCUGACCAUAUAAGAUCCGGCCACCAGCCGAUCAACGGACCAAGUUACCCUAGGGAUAACAGCGCAAUCCCCUUUCAGAGUUCAUAUCGACAAGGGGGUUUACGACCUCGAUGUUGGAUCAGGACAUCCUAAUGGUGCAGCCGCU